RNAcentral lists this transfer RNA (73 nucleotides) under Dipodomys ordii (Ord's kangaroo rat). It matches the Rfam family "tRNA". From Rfam's summary of the family: Transfer RNA (tRNA) molecules are approximately 80 nucleotides in length. Their secondary structure includes four short double-helical elements and three loops (D, anti-codon, and T loops). The record is from Rfam by way of RNAcentral. Lineage: Eukaryota; Metazoa; Chordata; Mammalia; Rodentia; Heteromyidae.
GAAGAUGUGGCUCAAUUGGUAGAGUGUCUACUUACCAAGUACAAAGCCCUGAGUUCAAACUCUAGCAUCACCG